RNAcentral lists this ribosomal RNA (405 nucleotides) under Ruegeria sp. Its description in RNAcentral is "bacterial SSU rRNA". It matches the Rfam family "Bacterial small subunit ribosomal RNA", at positions 546 to 951 of the family's 1533-position model. The record is from RNAcentral. Lineage: Bacteria; Pseudomonadati; Pseudomonadota; Alphaproteobacteria; Rhodobacterales; Roseobacteraceae.
CGGAAUUACUGGGCGUAAAGCGCACGUAGGCGGAUCGGAAAGUUGGGGGUGAAAUCCCGGGGCUCAACCCCGGAACUGCCUCCAAAACUAUCGGUCUAGAGUUCGAGAGAGGUGAGUGGAAUUCCGAGUGUAGAGGUGAAAUUCGUAGAUAUUCGGAGGAACACCAGUGGCGAAGGCGGCUCACUGGCUCGAUACUGACGCUGAGGUGCGAAAGUGUGGGGAGCAAACAGGAUUAGAUACCCUGGUAGUCCACACCGUAAACGAUGAAUGCCAGUCGUCGGGUAGCAUGCUAUUCGGUGACACACCUAACGGAUUAAGCAUUCCGCCUGGGGAGUACGGUCGCAAGAUUAAAACUCAAAGGAAUUGACGGGGGCCCGCACAAGCGGUGGAGCAUGUGGUUUAAUU